UUACUUUCACUCACUGCCUGUCCUUCCUGACACCUCACCAUGUGUACGGGAAAAUGUGCCCGCUGUGUGGGGCUCUCCCUCAUUACCCUCUGCCUGGUCUGCAUCGUGGCCAACGCCCUCCUGCUGGUACCUAAUGGGGAGACCUCCUGGACCAACACCAACCAUCUCAGCUUGCAAGUCUGGCUCAUGGGCGGCUUCCUCGGCGGGGGCCUAAUGGUACUGUGUCCAGGAAUUGCAGCUGUUCGGGCAGGGGGCAAGGGCUGCUGUGGUGCUGGGUGCUGUGGAAACCGCUGCAGGAUGCUGCGCUCGGUCUUCUCCUCGGCGUUCGGGGUGCUUGGUGCCAUCUACUGCCUCUCGGUGUCUGGAGCUGGGCUCCGAAAUGGACCCAGAUGCUUAAUGAACGGCGAGUGGGGCUACCACUUCGAAGACACCGCGUAAGGUUUAGCCUGUAUUCGUGUCCUCCAUUCUCUGCCUCUUCCCUCCCGCCCUUCCCCCGUGGACUGGGACACCUGGGCGGGACUCGACUUCGAGAGCACUCGCUCCACGUGGGCUACCUGGGCCUUUGCAAAUCCCCUAGGACGUAUUCUUGGGGGCGGGGGUGGCGCACGCGCAGGCCGCCUUCUCCCACGUGGCCUUACCCCUCCCACAGGGGAGCUUACUUGCUCAACCGCACUCUAUGGGAUCGGUGCGAGGCGCCCCCUCGCGUGGUCCCCUGGAAUGUGACGCUCUUCUCGCUGCUGGUGGCCGCCUCCUGCCUGGAGAUGGUAUUGUGUGGGAUCCAGCUGGUGAACGCGACCAUUGGUGUCUUCUGUGGCGAUUGCAGGAAAAAACAGGUGAAAUGGCGUGCGGUGGAGUUGUAGAGGGAACCUGCCUGGUCCUGGCUGCGUUCUCACCUUCUCUUUUCUGCAGGACGCCCCUCACUGAGGCUCCACUGACCGCCGGGUUACACCUGCUCCUUCCUGGACGCCUGCCUGGCUCACUCACUCCCUUGCUCACUAGAAUAAACUGCUUUGAGCUCUCUU
RNAcentral lists this small RNA (1022 nucleotides) under Pongo abelii (Sumatran orangutan). RNAcentral's name for it is "retained intron". Lineage: Eukaryota; Metazoa; Chordata; Mammalia; Primates; Hominidae. The record is from RNAcentral.